AAUUCCAUCUGAUCACUGCAUCGGUUACAUAUUAGCGAUGAGCUUUGAUUCUCACUUGUGUUGGAUGACAUUGUCUAUGAUUAAUAAACUGUUGGGAAGACACUGCCCAAAAAAAAUAGACAACCUGAUAAAAAAAAAAAACCAAAACUACCAAGUAAAACUAUCUAAUCCACGAAGUACUGUAAACAACUGCUAAUCAUACUUCAGUAACUCUACUGAUAUUGGAAAACACUGCAAGAAAGAAUGAAUUCUAAUAACAGAAUCAAUGGCAGGCUAAAUCAAUGGCAGGCUUAAUUAAGUGUCACAAGAUAAGUAUCAAUAAAGACCAUUUUUCUAGUAGUGUAAGUUAUUGCAACUUAUACAUUUUUUUAAAGAUUAGUGGAUGCAUGAACUAUUUCUUAAGAUAUCAUAUCGAACAUGGAAGAGUAUCGUAUAAAACACACAAAUAGAAGCUUUAGUUAGCCGUUGCUUGCCAAAUCUAGAAGCAAGCGAUAGAUUAGGCUCGUUAACCUUCAACAUUGUUAAGCUGAUUCAUCCCUUAAAAUUUUGAACAUAUCAAUUUAUCUCUACUUACCGUCUAAAGAUGAGGAUAAUGGGGAGCGCGCGUUGACUUCUUUUUUUUUCUUUUUUACGGUAAAUAAAAAUAAAUUGAUAUUAUCUAACUUUGAGAGGUAAAUUAAAAGAUUAUCAUUUUAGAUGGUGAUAAAUCAAAAUUUACCCUAGAAAAAAAAAAAUAUAUAUAGUAGUUUUCUGGUCAAGGAUUUUAAAGUGCGGGAAAGUCCGGGAAAACUUUAAAACCACACAGCUUUAAAAGCUUACAAUUUAAGCCUUUAAAACCAUGCGUUUUAAAGGUUUCCCGCACUUUCUCGCACUUUAAAAUUCCGGACUGGAAUAUUUCUCUCUCUCUCUCUCUCUCUCUCUCUCUCUCUCUCUCUCUCUCUCUCUCUCUCUCUCUCUCUCUCUCUCUCUCUCUCUCUCUCUCUCUCUCUCUCUCUCUCUCUCUCUCUCUCUCUCUCUCUCUCUCUCUCUCUCUCUCUCUCUCUCUCUCUCUCUCUCUCUCUCUCUCUCUCUCUCUCUCUCUCUCUCUCUCUCUCUCUCUCUCUAUGUCUAUAUAUAUAUAUAUAUAACCACACAGCUUUAAAGGCUUACAGUUUAAGCCUUUAAAACCAUGCGUUUUAAAAGUUUUCCGCACUUUCUCGCACUUUAAAAUUCCAGAUUGAAAUAUUUCUCUCUCUCUAUAUAUAUAUAUAUAUAUAUACACACACACACACAUGAAACUUGAAAAAGGCAAAAGAUAGGUACGUGUUGACUGAAAUACCUUGUCUAUAUAUAUAUAUACAUGAAACUUGAAGAAGGCAAAAUAUGGGUACGUGUUGACUGAAAUACCUUGUCUAUUUCAAUAAUUGGCAAUUAAUUUUGGCCAAGCAUAAAAAUAUUCCUCAUUAAUUCAAACCGGAUCGGGUUUCUAAUUUCAACCCGUUUGAAUUUCAACAAAAUGAAGCUUUAAUCACAAAUCAAUUUAUAAUUAGUAUGUAAUUUACUUGUAAAGGGCUGAAGUUCCCACCAACUGAAGAGCUGCGGUCGACGAUUCCGGGAGCUGCAAGAACUGGGAGGUGUUACGGUGGCCGGUGGGGGCUGCGACGCCGAUGAAGAUUGCUGUCGUGCUGAGGCUGAUUCACUGACAGGCAGAUGGGAGAGAUGACCGAUUGUAUUGUGGGGACUUGGUACGCCUGAUGGGCUAAGGCUGAUUCAUUGGCGGCACAUGUGGCGGCAGUCGGCAGUUGAAAGAGUUUAAGUCUUUGAGGGUUUCUUAAUUUUGAAUUUGGGAUCAGGUUCGGGCAGAUUUAGGUUUUUAGAAAUUUUAGUAAUAAUUUUUUUGAAUUUUUUAUUUUAACCGGUUCGGAUUUGCUAUUCGAUUGGGGUUGCUAAUUUCAGCCUGUUCAAUUUUCAAGAUCGAUUCGAAGUGAACUGAAAGCGUAACAUAAAUUCGUCUUCACUAAUUAGGAGUGCGCAGGGUUCAGCUCGGUUCGGUCCAGUCUGAUUUAGAUCAAAAUUAUACAGAACCGAUUAAAAUCUAUUAUUUUAUAAAAAAAACAAAAUAGAAAUCUAUUAUUAAAACAACAAUUAAUUUCUGUUUGAGCUCAUCAAUAUGGCCCGGUUUGAAACUUGUUAUUCCUAAACUUUUUCAAAGCUGUAAAUGGAUUAUUGGGAGUGGUGAUUCAGUGAAUCUUUGGCUUGAU
RNAcentral lists this long non-coding RNA (2240 nucleotides) under Citrus sinensis (sweet orange). RNAcentral's name for it is "long non-coding RNA (CSIN_LNC004340)". Lineage: Eukaryota; Viridiplantae; Streptophyta; Magnoliopsida; Sapindales; Rutaceae. The record is from RNAcentral.